This 409-nucleotide non-coding RNA is filed under the name Ricinus communis (castor bean). Its description in RNAcentral is "Bacterial small subunit ribosomal RNA". It matches the Rfam family "Bacterial small subunit ribosomal RNA", at positions 89 to 536 of the family's 1533-position model. Lineage: Eukaryota; Viridiplantae; Streptophyta; Magnoliopsida; Malpighiales; Euphorbiaceae. The record is from Rfam by way of RNAcentral.
GUUAAUAAAAUAUACAAAUGCUAAUGACCAACUAUUAUGCAGGGAGAGAAACGACAACUGAAGACAGUUGCUAAUACCCAAUAGGCUCAAAAGCAAAAAGAGAAAUCCACCAAAGGAGAGGCUCACUUCUAACUAGCUAGUUAAUGAGGAAUUAGCUUAUCAAGGCGAUGUCAAUAGCUAAUUCAAGAGGAUGAUUAGCCACACUAGAACUAAGAUGGCCUAGACUCGCACGAGAGACAGUAGUGAAAUUUUUUUCGUAAUGUGCAAAAACUUGACAAAGUAGUACCUCAUGGAGGUAGAAGGUCUUUGGGCCGUAAACUUCUUUUCCUGGAGAAUAAGUAAUUACAGUAUGUGAAAUAUAAACAUCAGCUAACUUUGUGCCAACAGUUGCGGUAGCAUAAAGGAUGUA